Molecule: small nuclear RNA, 147 nt
Filed under: Myotis davidii
Lineage: Eukaryota; Metazoa; Chordata; Mammalia; Chiroptera; Vespertilionidae
Description: U2 spliceosomal RNA
Rfam family: U2 spliceosomal RNA
About the family: U2 is a small nuclear RNA (snRNA) component of the spliceosome (involved in pre-mRNA splicing). Complementary binding between U2 snRNA (in an area lying towards the 5' end but 3' to hairpin I) and the branchpoint sequence (BPS) of the intron results the bulging out of an unpaired adenosine, on the BPS, which initiates a nucleophilic attack at the intronic 5' splice site, thus starting the first of two transesterification reactions that mediate splicing.
Source: Rfam by way of RNAcentral
AUCGCUUCUCGGCCUUUUGGCUAAGAUCAAGUGUAAAAAACUAUUUAGGCAACAUUAUUGAGAUUCUUUUUAAUUUUGUUGAACAGGCACAUCUUCAAGUGAAUCUAAUCUGCUUAACAUUCCUUCGCAAAAAAGAACUCGAAGAAA